RNAcentral lists this unclassified non-coding RNA (350 nucleotides) under soil metagenome. Its description in RNAcentral is "partial contains 5.8S ribosomal RNA, internal transcribed spacer 2, and large subunit ribosomal RNA". The stretch from base 1 to 121 matches the Rfam family "5.8S ribosomal RNA", at positions 35 to 154 of the family's 154-position model. The record is from RNAcentral.
GAUGAAGAACGUAGCGAAAUGCGAUAAGUAAUGCGAAUUGCAGAAUUUCCGUGAGUCAUCGAGUCUUUGAACGCACAUUGCGCCCCCUGGUAUUCCGGGGGGCAUGCCUGUCCGAGCGUCAUUGCUGCCCUCAAGCACGGCUUGUGUGUUGGGCCUCCGCCCCCCGGCUCCCGGGGGGCGGGCCCGAAAGGCAGCGGCGGCACCGCGUCCGGUCCUCGAGCGUAUGGGGCUUCGUCACCCGCUCCGUAGGCCCGGCCGGCGCCCGCCGGCGACCCCCCUCAAUCUUUCCAGGUUGACCUCGGAUCAGGUAGGGAUACCCGCUGAACUUAAGCAUAUCAAUAAGCGGAGGA